GAGUGGUGUACAUGGGAACAUUUAUGCCACGUACAGAUUCCAUUGUGACCAGCAUGUAAAGCAAGUAUGAAAGUGCCAGAGGAAGGGUGUGAAACAAUGUCUUAAAAGGUACAAAGCUUGCUGGGUUAUUAUUAAUUCUAUUGGAUUCAGCAGUUCUAAAAGAUAUGAUCUUCCACCGUCUCAUCGCAUAGAGAAACGAACAUGAACAAAGACUCUGAAAAAGUGUUAUAACAUUUGCAUGCGGGAAAUUGUAAGAAGAAAGCGCUGCUUUGUUGAACAUCACCAAGAGAACUGCACUAGCCAUGUAACAAAUGGCAGCAUAAGCUCCUUUCCUGGUCAUGACAGAGUCAUUUUGCAGCUUCUCUGGCUUGCUGGAGGGAUCAGUGACAGGUAGAGUCUUGUUCUUCUCUAAAUCCAUUGCUGAGAGUGCUUCCGUUAAUUUGAGAAUGGGAGAGAGAGGACAGAGACUAUGAAGGGAAGAGCAGUUUUAUGUAAG
This 496-nucleotide unclassified non-coding RNA is filed under the name Hevea brasiliensis (rubber tree). The record is from RNAcentral. Lineage: Eukaryota; Viridiplantae; Streptophyta; Magnoliopsida; Malpighiales; Euphorbiaceae.